RNAcentral lists this ribosomal RNA (250 nucleotides) under uncultured bacterium. Its description in RNAcentral is "partial 16S ribosomal RNA". It matches the Rfam family "Bacterial small subunit ribosomal RNA", at positions 524 to 773 of the family's 1533-position model. The record is from RNAcentral.
UACGUAGGUGGCAAGCGUUGUCCGGAUUUACUGGGUGUAAAGGGAGCGUAGGUGGCAUUGCAAGUCUGGUGUGAAAGCCCGGGGCUCAACCCCGGGAUUGCAUUGGAAACUGUGAUGCUAGAGUGCAGGAGAGGUAAGUGGAAUUCCUAGUGUAGCGGUGAAAUGCGUAGAUAUUAGGAGGAACACCAGUGGCGAAGGCGGCUUACUGGACUGUAACUGACACUGAGGCUCGAAAGCGUGGGGAGCAAAC